Molecule: small nuclear RNA, 108 nt
Organism: Sciurus carolinensis (gray squirrel)
Lineage: Eukaryota; Metazoa; Chordata; Mammalia; Rodentia; Sciuridae
Source: RefSeq, a predicted model, not a curated record
UUGCUCACUUCAGCAGCACAUUUACUAAUAAUGAAACAAAACAGAGAAGAUUAGCAUGGAACCCUGUGAAAGAAUGAGACACGGAUUGGUGAAGUAUUCCAUAUUUUU